AGCGAACGCUGGCGGCAGGCCUAACACAUGCAAGUCGAACGAACCCUUCGGGGUUAGUGGCGGACGGGUGAGUAACACGUGGGAACGUACCUUUAGGUUCGGAACAACACAGGGAAACUUGUGCUAAUGCCGAAUGUGCCCUUCGGGGAAAAGAUUUAUCGCCUUUAGAGCGGCCCGCGUCUGAUUAGCUUGUUGGUGAGGUAAAGGCUCACCAAGGCUACGAUCAAUAGCUGGUCUGAGAGGAUGAUCAGCCACACUGGGACUGAGACACGGCCCAGACUCCUACGGGAGGCAGCAGUGGGGAAUCUUGCGCAAUGGGCGAAAGCCUGACGCAGCCAUGCCGCGUGAAUGAUGAAGGUCUUAGGAUUGUAAAAUUCUUUCACCGGGGAAGAUAAUGACGGUACCCGGAGAAGAAGCCCCGGCUAACUUCGUG
RNAcentral lists this ribosomal RNA (433 nucleotides) under uncultured bacterium. RNAcentral describes it as "bacterial SSU rRNA". It matches the Rfam family "Bacterial small subunit ribosomal RNA", at positions 29 to 507 of the family's 1533-position model. The record is from RNAcentral.